AAUGGGUCAGCGACUUAUAUUCUGUAGCAAGGUUAACCGAAUAGGGGAGCCGAAGGGAAACCGAGUCUUAACUGGGCGUUAAGUUGCAGGGUAUAGACCCGAAACCCGGUGAUCUAGCCAUGGGCAGGUUGAAGGUUGGGUAACACUAACUGGAGGACCGAACCGACUAAUGUUGAAAAAUUAGCGGAUGACUUGUGGCUGGGGGUGAAAGGCCAAUCAAACCGGGAGAUAGCUGGUUCUCCCCGAAAGCUAUUUAGGUAGCGCCUCGUGAAUUCAUCUCCGGGGGUAGAGCACUGUUUCGGCAAGGGGGUCAUCCCGACUUACCAACCCGAUGCAAACUGCGAAUACCGGAGAAUGUUAUCACGGGAGACACACGGCGGGUGCUAACGUCCGUCGUGAAGAGGGAAACAACCCAGACCGCCAGCUAAGGUCCCAAAGUCAUGGUUAAGUGGGAAACGAUGUGGGAAGGCCCAGACAGCCAGGAUGUUGGCUUAGAAGCAGCCAUCAUUUAAAGAAAGCGUAAUAGCUCACUGGUCGAGUCGGCCUGCGCGGAAGAUGUAACGGGGCUAAACCAUGCACCGAAGCUGCGGCAGCGACGCUUAUGCGUUGUUGGGUAGGGGAGCGUUCUGUAAGCCUGUGAAGGUGUACUGUGAGGUAUGCUGGAGGUAUCAGAAGUGCGAAUGCUGACAUAAGUAACGAUAAAGCGGGUGAAAAGCCCGCUCGCCGGAAGACCAAGGGUUCCUGUCCAACGUUAAUCGGGGCAGGGUGAGUCGACCCCUAAGGCGAGGCCGAAAGGCGUAGUCGAUGGGAAACAGGUUAAUAUUCCUGUACUUGGUGUUACUGCGAAGGGGGGACGGAGAAGGCUAUGUUGGCCGGGCGACGGUUGUCCCGGUUUAAGCGUGUAGGCUGGUUUUCCAGGCAAAUCCGGAAAAUCAAGGCUGAGGCGUGAUGACGAGGCACUACGGUGCUGAAGCAACAAAUGCCCUGCUUCCAGGAAAAGCCUCUAAGCAUCAGGUAACAUCAAAUCGUACCCCAAACCGACACAGGUGGUCAGGUAGAGAAUACCAAGGCGCUUGAGAGAACUCGGGUGAAGGAACUAGGCAAAAUGGUGCCGUAACUUCGGGAGAAGGC
RNAcentral lists this ribosomal RNA (1131 nucleotides) under Escherichia coli. Its description in RNAcentral is "partial 23S ribosomal RNA". It matches the Rfam family "Bacterial large subunit ribosomal RNA", at positions 614 to 1747 of the family's 2925-position model. Lineage: Bacteria; Pseudomonadati; Pseudomonadota; Gammaproteobacteria; Enterobacterales; Enterobacteriaceae. The record is from RNAcentral.